GGUUCCUGCUGGAUGCAUAGGUAGCCAGGUCAGGGGUCAAGAGCGGAACACCCUCACUGGCCCGGGCCGGCGCGGGAGGGCUGUGUGAUGGCCUCGGAGCGCCCCGAGCCGGAGGUGGAAGAAGCUGGGCAGGUGUUCCUGUUAAUGAAAAAGGAUUAUCGAAUCUCCCGAAAUGUUCGCCUGGCUUGGUUCCUCAGUCAUCUGCACCAAACUGUGCAGGCCACACCCCAGGAGAUGCUGCUUCAGUCUGAACAGGAAUUGGAAGUCCUCAGUGUCCUGCCCCCUGGGUGGCAGCCAGAUGAACCAGUGGUCCCAAGGCCAUUCCUCCUUGUACCUUCCACCCGGGUCACCUUCCUGGCUUGGCAGUAUCGGUUUGUCAUUGAGCUGGACCUUAGCCCAUCUACUGGCAUUGUGGAUGAUUCCACAGGGGAGAUCUUGUUUGAUGAAGUUUUCCAUGCCCUGUCCCGCUGCCUAGGCGGGCUGCUUCGGCCCUUCCGAGUGCCUGGAUCUUGCAUCGACUUCCAGCCUGAGAUCUACGUAACUAUCCAGGCCUACUCCUCCAUCAUUGGACUGCAGUCCCACCAGGUGCUGGUACAGGGCUGCCUCUUGGACCCUUCCCAGCGGGAGGUGUUCCUGCAGCAGAUAUAUGAGCAGCUCUGCCUCUUUGAGGAUAAGGUGGCCACCAUGCUGCAGCAGCAGUACGAUCCCCAGAGCCAGGCAGAAGACCAGUCCCCAGAGUCAGGGGACCUACUGGGCCGGAAGGUAGGCGUCUCCAUGGUGACAGCUGAUCUUGGCCUGGUCAGUAUGAUUCGUCAGGGCAUCUUGGCGCUGCAGUUAUUACCCUCAAACUCUAGUGCAGGGAUUAUCGUGAUCACGGAUGGGGUGACCAGUGUACCUGAUGUUGCUGUCUGUGAGACGCUGCUGAACCAGCUUCGCAGUGGCACUGUGGCUUGUUCCUUUGUCCAGGUGGGAGGAGUUUACUCUUACGACUGCAGUUUUGGCCAUGUGCCCAAUGUGGAAUUAAUGAAGUUCAUCGCAAUGGCAACAUUUGGGUCCUACCUGUCCACUUGUCCUGAGCCAGAGCCAGGCAACCUGGGUCUGACUGUCUACCACCGGGCAUUUCUCCUCUAUUCCUUCCUGCGCAGUGGGGAAGCACUGAACCCUGAAUAUUACUGCGGCUCUCAGCACCGCCUAUUUAAUGAGCACCUGGUCUCUGCAAGCAGCAACCCUGCCCUGGCCUUGCGCCGGAAGAAGCACACUGAAAAGGAGGUGCCAGCCGACUUGGUCAGCACCGUGUCGGUGCGGCUUCGAGAGGGCUACAGUGUCCGAGAGGUCACACUGGCCAAAGGAGGGUCCCAAUUGGAGGUAAAGCUGGUGCUGCUGUGGAAACACAACAUGCGCAUUGAGUAUGUGGCUAUGGCACCCUGGCCCCUGGAACCUGAGGGCCCUCGAGUAACACGGGUGGAAGUGACGAUGGAAGGCGGCUACGACAUUUUGCAUGAUGUGUCCUGUGCACUAAGGCAGCCCAUUCGUUCAUUGUAUCGUACCCAUGUUAUCCGGCGUUUCUGGAACACGCUGCAGAGCAUCAACCAGACAGACCAGAUGCUUGCCCACCUUCAGUCCUUCUCCUCAGUGCCUGAGCAUUUCACGCUUCCUGACAGCACCAAGAGCGGAGUGCCACUCUUCUACAUCCCUCCAGGCUCCACCACCCCGGUGCUCUCCCUCCAGCCCAGUGGUUCUGACUCAUCCCAUGCCCAGUUUGCUGCCUACUGGAAGCCAGUGCUGUCCAUGGAUGCAAAUUCCUGGCAGCGAUGGCUGCACAUGCAUCGCCUGGUGCUAAUCCUGGAGCAUGACACACCAAUCCCCAAGCACUUGCACACCCCGGGCAGCAAUGGGCGCUACAGCACUAUCCAGUGCAGGAUCUCCCACUCCUCCCUGACCUCUCUGCUGCGGGACUGGAGCAGCUUCGUACUAGUUGAGGGCUAUUCUUAUGUCAAGCUGCUCUCCAGUGCCCCAGACCAGCCCCCCAAUUCCUUCUACAUGGUCCGUAUCAUUUCCAAGGCCCCAUGCAUGGUUCUUCGCCUGGGUUUUCCCAUUGGCACACCAGCACCGGCCCGGCACAAGAUUGUGUCAGGCUUGAGGGAAGAGAUCCUGCGGCUGCGUUUCCCCCACCGGGUACAAAGCAAGGAGCCAACGCCCAAGGUGAAACGAAAAGGGCUAGGGGGCGCUGGUGGGGGCGGCUCUCCCUCCAAGUCACCCCCCGUGCUGGGGCCACAGCAGGCCCUGUCUGACCGGCCCUGCCUUGUGGUCCUGCAUAAGCCACUGGACAAACUGCUUAUCAGGUAUGAGAAGCUACCCUUGGACUACCGGGCACCCUUCUUGCUGACACUGGAGCCACCAGGUCCACUGCCCUUGGUGUCAGGCCGCUCAGCCUCUUCUAGCCUGGCGUCACUGUCCCGCUACCUCUACCAUCAGCGCUGGCUUUGGAGUGUCCCGUCAGGACUGGCCCCUGCGCUGCCUCUCAGCGCCAUUGCCCAGCUCCUCUCCAUCCUCACUGAAGUCCGACUUUCUGAAGGAUUCCACUUUGCCUGCAGUGGAGAAGGAAUCAUCAACAUGGUUCUGGAGCUUCCAAUUCAGAAUGAACCACCAGGGCAGGCUGCAGCUGAAGAGAAGCACACCUGUGUUGUCCAGUACAUCCUCUUCCCCCCACACUCUACCUCCACCAAAGACAGCUUCUCGACAGAUGAUGACAAUGAUGUGGAAGUAGAGGCCCUGGAGGGAGACUCGGAGCUCAAUCUGGUCACUGAGGUGUGGGUGGAGCCACAGUAUGGGCGAGUGGGACCUGGCCCUGGAAGCUGGAAGCACCUCCAGGACCUGACGUAUUCUGAGAUCCCGCAAGCUCUCCACCCACGGGAUGCUGCCUGCAUAGGCUCCAUGCUGAGCUUUGAAUACCUGAUACAGCUGUGCCAGAGCAAGGAAUGGGGUCCUCUGCCCCCAGAGCCGAGGGUCUCUGAUGGAUUGGAUCAGGGAGGAGACACCUGCGUCCAUGAGAUCCCUUUCCAUUUUGACCUAAUGGGAUUGCUGCCACAGUGCCAGCAGCUCCAGAUGUUCUUCCUCUUGCUUGCCAGAGAGCCAGAGGGUGUCCCUUUCGCCGAGGGGUCCUGUCCCGCCAACGACAUGGUGCUGUGCCUGCUGCACAGCUGCCUGGGGCAGGAGCUGAGUGACCGGGAGAUCCCACUGACCCCCGUUGACCAGGCUGCCUUCUUGAAUGAGGUGCUGCGGCGGACCUGCCACGUUCCAGGUGCCGAGGGGCUACUGCUGGGGGUUCAUGGGAUCCCGAAGGAGCAAGCAGUCGGCAGCACCCAGGCCACAGGAGACUCCGCUUUUACUUCCCUGAGUGUAGGUCUUCCUGAAACUCUCAAGCCUCUCAUCUCUGCCCAGCCCCCUCAGUGGCGCUGCUAUGCAAGGCUUGUGAACCCCCAGCAUGUGUUUCUGACUUUUCUCCCAGCUACCUUCUCAGAUGUCCAGCGUCUGGCUGCCUGUGGCCUGGAGGGACCCCCUCAAGAGGAGACAAAGCCUAAGUUUGGGGAUUGGAGUGGGGCUCCCAGUCUGAAAGAUCUAGGAGGAACUGGGGUCAAAGCUACAAAGUCCCAAGUCCCUGUCCUCAGUGUGACCCUGGCUAGUGACAAUGCCCAGAAUCAAGGAGAGCUAAGCCCACCCUUCCGUCGAGACUUACAGGCUUACGCUGGGCGUCAGGCUUCCCAGACAGAGAGUGCAGAUGGGCCCCGGAGCCGGUGUCCUGUCUACAUCUACAGCUGUUCACUGGAAGCGCUGAGGGAACAAAUGGUUGGCAUGCAGCCCCCUCAGGCGCCCCGAGACCUCAUCUUCCGGACUCAGUUCCUCGACCACCCCUCCCCGUCCUCAGCCUGGAUGGAACCCCGGUACAAGGAGGCAGCUAACCACUGUGCCCUGCUGCAGGAGCAUGCACAGCGAUGCUAUGUCCGUGGGCUAUUCCGCAGCUUGCAGCAAGCACAGAGUGUGACCUCCCAGGAUUUGCUGACAGCAGUAGAUGCCUGUGAGGAGCUACUACAAGAAAUAGACAUCACCCCAUUUCUUCUUGCAUUGUGUGGCCACACUUGGGGUUUGCCUCAUGCACCCCCAAGUCCUGGGCCUCUCAGCCCUGGGCCCUUCAGCAGCAGCAUGGAGGAGGGUGCUGAGCCUCGGGAACGAGCUAUCCUAGCUUCUGAAUCCAGCAUAGAGACCGAGGACCUAAGCGAGCCUGAGUUUCAGAGCACCCGUGUCCCUGGCAUUCCAGACCCUGGGCCAGAGAUCUCUCUGACAGAUGUCUGCCAGCUCAGAGGAGAGGCCCAUGGUGCCCUUCAUAGCAUCAUCCAGGAGAAGUUCCUAGAGAUCAGUCGUCUCCACUUCCGCACAGUGCCUUCCAAUCCCCACUACUUCUUCUAUUGCCCUCCAUCCAGCAGGCGAGAAGAUGAGGGGCCUCGGGACACAGUGGACAGAAAAAUCAGUGACCUGGAGUUUUCAGAGGCUGAGCUUAUGGGAGAAGAAGGUGUGUGGGCAAGAGACACAUCUGCCUGCUGUGUGGUCACUGAGAGUGACCCAGAGCUAGAGGUAGAAUACCGGGAGAGCCGUGAAUCAGACCUGGGGCCUGCUGGGCUAGACUCUGCCUCGCUGUCAGACGUAGACACUGUGAAUCCUGACGAAGACUCCUUCAGUAUCUUGGGGGGUGACUCACCCACUGGGCCUGAGAGCUUCCUUCAUGACCUGCCACCGCUCUUCCUGCACCUCACGUGCUCCGUGCGGCUACGUGGGCAGCACAGCUCAGUACCUGUGUGCAGCCUGCCUACCUGCCUGGGCCAGGUGCUUUCCAGUCUGGAGGGCCCCCCAGUUGGAGGCCGAGUUCCCUUGAGGGACCUCAGUGUGACUCUGGAUGUCUUCAUGCUGACUUUGCCCCUGGAAGUGGAGCUCCCCACGGCCUCAGACCCUCAGCACCACCGGUCAACAUCUGAAAGCAGUGCUUCAUUCCCACGAUCCCCAGGACAGCCAUCAUCUUUAAGGUCAGAUGAUGGCCUCGGGCCCCCACUGCCACCCCCAGAAGAAGAGAGGCACCCAGGACUAUCCAAUUUGGCCACACCCCACAGACUGGCUAUUGAGACCACCAUGAAUGAGAUCCGCUGGUUGUUGGAAGAUGAGAUGGUGGGGGCACUCCGAAGAGGGGGCAUCCCACAGAGCCCUGCCCUGCACCGCGCAGCUGCCCAUAUCCAUAGCUCUCCUGGACGCUCCACCUGCCUUCGCCAAACUCUGCCACUGAGUUUUGUAUUUGGGCCAGAGCGUUCCCUCACACAAUUCAAGGAGGAGUUCCGCCGCUUCCAUCUCCCUGGCCAUGUUCUUCUUGAAGACCCUGACAGUGGCUUCUUCUUUGUGGCAGCUGGCCAACAGCCAGGUGGGUCCCAUGGGGAGCCUUCUUCAGCGGCCUGGGCUUGGCACACUCAUGAGGACAGGGCUGAAGGCAUCGAAGGGGAGACCCUGACAGCCAGCCCCCAAGCACCUGGGUCCCCAGAGGAUUCGGAGGGUGUCCCCCUCAUCAGCCUGCCCAGCAUGCCACAGGGAGGGAGUCAGCCUGGGCCCAGCCGGGGACUAAGUCUCAUGUCCAGUCAGGGCAGUGUGGACUCAGACCACCUAGGUUAUGAUGGUGGCAGCAGUGGCUCAGACAGUGAGGGUCCCAAUGACACCCUUGGUGAGAAGGCCCCCUUCACAUUGCGGACUCCACCUGGGCCAGCACCUCCACAGCCUUCACUCUCAGGCCUCCCUGGGCCCUGCCUGCCUGACUUCUGGCUCAUUGUCCGGGUCCUGCAGGACCGUGUGGAAGUGUAUGCACAUGCACGGAGCCUGAUUCGGGAGGAUGGGGGGCCGGGCACUGAGUGUCGCCACCUACAGCAGCUCCUGGUGAGGCGAGUUGGGGAGAUCUGCAGGGAGGUCAACCAGCGACUGCUUCUUCAAGACCUUCAUGACAGCCACGUGUGUAACUCUCUUCUGGUGGCCGAGAGUGAAGAAGAUCUGUGGCGCAGCGAGACUCCCUUCCACUCCCGUCAGCGGGCACCACUGUCCAGUGAUGAUUAUGCUGCUGAUGAGAGCUGUGCGCCCCGAGGGUACCUGGCAGCCACAAUGCAGUUUGUCCCUGGCCAUUUCUCCUGUGACGUUGUGUGGGGAACUGUGAUCCGAGUCCAUUCACGCCUCAAAAUGGGGCCCAGCAUGGGGGUCUCUCGGGCCAUCCAGGCCCUGCGCUCUGUGCUCAAUGCCUUCUCUGUGGUGAACCGGAAAAACAUGUUUGUUUACCAGGAGCGAGCAACGAAGGCUGUGUACUAUCUUCGGCUCCUAGAGACAUCCUGCAGUGACCGGCCAUGGAAAGGGGAUGCGCUGCCCCCUUCCCUCGCUCUGUCCCGAAGCCAAGAGCCCAUCUACUCUGAGGAAGCCUCGGGUCCUCGUUCUCCCUUAGACAUGGCCUCUAGCCGCAGUUCAGAUGCUGCUCGUCCUGUGGGCCAAGUGGACAGACAUAUCCAGCUGCUGGUCCAUGGUGUUGGGCAGGCAGGUCCUGAGAUCACGGAUGAGCUCGUGCGAGUUCUGUGUCGGCGCCUGGAUGAGGCCACGCUGGACGUCAUCACAGUUAUGCUUGUUCGGAACUGCAAGCUGACACCAGCUGAUGUGGAGUUCAUCCAGCCCCCUGGAAGUCUCCCCUCAGAGGUGCUGCAUCUGGCCCUACCCACCUCCUGCAGGCCCUGGCUUCCAGCCCUGGCGUGGUACCUACGGCAGAACUUGCUCAUCUUCCUGCACUCUCCCAAGUACACAGAUAGCAACAGCCGGAACCACUUCCAACAUCCACUCCCACCACAGGGUGGCCUCCCUGACUUGGACAUCUACUUGUAUAACAAGCCUGGUGGACAGGGCACUGGGGGCAAAGGGGUUGCCUGCAUCACUCUAGCCUUUGUGGAUGAAGGAGGGGCCCCCUUGUCACUGGCGUUGUGGCCCCCCUCCUCUCCGGGGCCCCCAGACCCACUGCGAGAGGAGGAAUUUGAGCAACUGACCCAGGUCAUCCGCUGCCCGGUGGUUCUGGACAGUUCUUCAGCUCAGAAUGGGGCCCCACGGCUUCGACUGGAUGUGUGGGAAAAGGGGAACAUUAGUAUUGUGCAGCUGGAGGAGAAACUCCGAGGAGCAGCUCGCCAGGCCCUGGCCGAUGCCAUCAUCGAGCUUCAGCUGCUGCCAGCUUCACUAUGUACAGAGGACACACCCACAGGAAGUCUCAGGAACGGAUCGUUGGAAACUAAGAGCUCUGCAGGCCGAGCUAGCACCUUUCCCCCUGCCCCUGUCCCUGGGGAGCCUGUGACUCCACCCAGCAAAGCGGGCCGGCGUAGCUUCUGGGAUAUGCUGAGUAAAACAGAAUGUGGGGAUUUGGGUUCCCCCAAAACAACUGACGACAUUGUCCUGGAUCGGCCAGAAGACACUCGGGGCCGGAGGCGUCACAAAACUGAGAGUGUUCGGACUCCUGGUGGAGCUGAGCGGGCACCAGGGUCAGAUUCUGGAGCCCAGAGACAAAGACGCCGGACAACACAGCUAGAAGAGGGUGAGGUGGGGACCCUUCAUCCUGUGUUUGCCCGUGUUGCUCAGCGCUGGAUGGAGUUUAUGGUUCAGAUUGGUUGUGCCUCAGUGUCCAGAAGCUCUGCCCACAUGGUGUCCCGGUUCCUCCUUCCAUCCAUCCUGUCUGAGUUCACCGCACUGGUCACCUCAAUGGCUGGAGACACCAGUGUCCGCAUCUUUGAGCAGCAUUUGGGUUCAGAGCCAGAGAUCUUCGGCCCUUGUUCCCCUGGGCAACUGGGCCCCUCUCCCCGCCCCGCAGCUGAGCGGCGUCUGCUGCUUCUGGGAAGGAACUUCUUGCAGUGGAGGAGACCAACACAGCAGGCUGCCAAAGCCAUGCAGCGCUUCGAGCCAGGAGGUGAUGGGAGCUCAGGGCGAAAUGCUCCCCGGCAGAGGCUCUUGCUACUAGAGGUUGUGGACAAGAAGCUACAGCUGCUUACCUACAACUGGGCUCCAGACCUGGGGGCAGCAUUGGGCCGAGCGCUGGUUCGCCUGGUGCAGUGGCAGAAUGCACGAGCCCAUCUCAUCUUCUGCCUACUCAGCCAGAAGCUUGGACUCUUCCAUCAUUAUGGCCAGUUGGACUUCCCCGUGCGAGAUGAAAAGGAGCCAAACCCAUUCCUGCUGCCGACCAUGGAAGUGGAGACCCUCAUCAGGAGUGCAAGUCCCCCGCUGAGCCGUGAGCAGGGCCGGCUGAGUGGGUCCUCUCGUGGUGGGGGUCCUCUUCCCCUGGACACAUUCCCCUUUGACGAGGCCCUAAGGGAUAUCACGGCUGCCCGCCCCAGCUCCAUACUUGGUCCUGUGCCCAGACCUCCUGAUCCUGUCACCUACCAUGGACAACAGUUCCUAGAGAUCAAGAUGGCAGAGCGCAGAGAGUUGGAGCGCCAGAUGAAGAUGGAAAACCUGUUUGUAACCUGGCAGCAGCGUUCUACUCCAGCCACCAUGCCCAUCAGUGCUGGAGAGCUGGAGACCCUGAAGCAGUCAUCCCGCCUGGUGCAUUACUGUGCAACAGCCAUGCUCUUUGACCCAGCUGCCUGGCUGCAUGGGCCCCCAGAGACCUCUGGACCCCCUGACGGGCAGCGGCGCCAUCGCCCUGAGUCAGGGUCUGGGAGCCGAGAGGCCUCCACAAGCUGUGAAUCCUUGGAUGUGUCGCCUCCGGGAGCCCGUGAGGAGCCUUGGCUGAAGGAGCUGAGCUUGGCUUUCCUGCAGCAAUAUGUGCAGUAUCUGCAGAGCAUAGGUUUUGUGCUGGUACCACUGCGGCCCCCCUCACCCGCCCGCAGCACCAGCCGGCCACGGGCCAUGGCUAUCCUUGGAACAGAGGGUCGAGGCUCCUUCUCCUGCCCUAAAACCAAGACUGAUGGGAGCCCCAAGAGCACUAGCUCUCCAGUAACCACCUACCACCUGCAGCGGGCACUGCCUGGGGGCAUCAUCCUCAUGGAACUGGCAUUCCAGGGCUGUUACUUCUGUGUCAAACAGUUUGCCCUGGAAUGUUCCCGAAUCCCAAUGGGGCAGGCUGUCAACUCACAGCUGUCCAUGCUGUUCACAGAGGAGUGUGACAAGGUGCGGGACCUGAUGCACGUGCACUCAUUCAGCUAUGACUUCCAUCUGCGCCUCGUGCACCAGCACGUGCUAGGCGCCCACCUGGUGCUGCGGCACGGCUACCACCUCACCACUUUCCUGCGACACUUCCUGGCCCACCACCCUGACGGACCCCACUUCGGCCGCAAUCACAUUUACCAAGGGACAUUGGAGCUCCCCACACCACUCAUUGCUGCCCACCAGCUGUACAACUACGUGGCUGACCAUGCCAGCUCUUACCACAUGAAGCCAUUGCGAAUGGCCCGGCCAGGGGGCCCAGAACACAAUGAGUAUGCCCUGGUGUCGGCAUGGCACAGCUCUGGCUCCUACCUGGACUCUGAGGGACUUCGCCACCAGGAUGACUUUGAUGUGUCUCUGCUUGUCUGUCACUGUGCUGCACCCUUUGAGGAGCAAGGAGAGGCUGAGCGGCACGUUCUGCGGCUACAGUUCUUCGUGGUGCUCACCAGCCAGCGAGAGCUCUUCCCCAGGCUCACUGCUGACAUGCGCCGCUUCCGGAAGCCACCCAGACUGCCCCCUGAGCCAGAGGCUCCUGGGAGUUCAGCUGGCAGCCCUGGGGAGGCCUCAGGGUUUGUUCUAGCACCUGGACCAGCUCCUCUGUUCCCACCACUGGCUGCAGAGGUGGGCAUGGCACGAGCACGGCUGGCCCAGCUGGUGCGGCUGGCUGGAGGGCACUGCCGUCGGGACACCCUUUGGAAGCGCCUCUUCUUGCUGGAGCCACCAGGGCCUGAUCGACUGCGGCUAGGGGGGCGCCUGGCCCUGGCAGAGCUGGAGGAACUCCUAGAAGCAGUCCAUGCCAAAUCCAUUGGGGACAUCGACCCCCAGCUGGACUGCUUCCUAUCCAUGACGGUCUCCUGGUACCAGAGCCUGAUCAAAGUUCUCCUAAGCCGCUUCCCCCAGAGCUGUCGCCAUUUCCAAAGCCCAGACUUGGGAACUCAGUACCUGGUUGUGCUGAAUCAGAAGUUCACUGACUGCUUUGUGCUAGUGUUUCUGGACUCCCACUUAGGAAAGACGUCUCUGACAGUGGUUUUCCGAGAGCCCUUCCCAGUACAGCCCCAGGACAGCGAGAGCCCCCCUGCCCAACUGGUCUCCACCUACCACCACCUGGAGUCUGUCAUCAACACAGCCUGUUUCACCCUCUGGACCCGCCUCCUCUGAGGGAGUGGACUGGACCACUGAAUGUCACUGUUCCUUGAAUCAUGGGCCUACAAGAUUGCCUGCCAGAGGCAGGACUGACCAGCCCUUCUGGGCCCCCAGGGCAAGCCAGACACUGAGUGACACCAAAGGCUUUGUAACUAUGUCUUGAGGGUCUGCUGCCCCAGCCUGGCAGCAGGAACCGCCCUCCCCAAACACCCACAGCCACUGACCCAUCCAGGACUCCAGAGGGUCAGGUCAACCCCGAGGACCCCUUGGGCCCUUCUGGGGUACUCCUUUCGGCUCCCCUGGUAAAGUCUCGGGAGUUCACACGGGGUGGCAAACACCCCCUAGAGCUCCUCUGCCUGAAUCCUGCCCCCUAGCCUUUGACCACUGUCAGCCACCUGUGUCCCUUGAGCCCUUGGGUCUUCACUUCCCACUUGGACAUGACUGCUGGACAUUCCCAUCGAGAUGACACCUGGGUUCCAAUCCCAGCUCUGCCUUUGAAGCACUUGUGGCCACCGUCAAGUCCCUUUGCUCUUGGACCCUGGGUUUCUCAUCCUUUAAUGAGAAGGGAGAGGGAGGCCUCGGCACCUCAGCCCACAAGGAGAAAACAGCCCCUGUCUGGAUCCCUCCAGAGCUCCCUUCCCCAGGGCCACAUCUCACCUUGAGGCUGAUACUCGCAGCCCACAAAGCCUUUGUAGCCUUCAUCUUCCAGCAGUUGAAACAGAUAGGGGAAAUUCAGCUCUCCAGGGCUGCUGGGCUCCCCUCGGCCUGGGACCUGUGCCACCUGCACAUGCCCUGGGGACAGAUGUGGACAAAUGUGGGGUCCAGGCUCCUGCCAGGGCCUGAAGGACAGACGUGGGGACUGAAAGGGUGGGAGGGCAAAGGAAGGUCCUCUCACCAACAAUGGGCAGGAACUCCUGGAUGUUUCCUGUCAGGUUCCCAUCCAUGAUCUGCCAGUGGAAUAUGUCCUAGGGAAGAGUAUACCACAGUCCGAGACCCCGCAGGCCCUGCCCUCCUUCCGAUCUGCGAAGUACCCCCUUCCACUUACCAUUUGUAAUUGGAGGUUGGGUCUUCCUACCUUCUGUAAGAUGGCUGCCGCUGUAAGAGAAGCCAGGGAGGGGACCGUGAGCCUCAACAGCACAGGAAUCAAAAGGGACAGAAGGAGACACAGGGCUGGGGUCGUACCCUGCUGGGGCGUGUCCAGGAAGUACUGGGGGUCAGUGAUGCGGGUGUUGAUGGGCUCCAGCAGUCCCACGAGGUCCUCCUAGCAGCAUGUCGGGUGCUGUGAAUAGAGCUCCUUCCCAAGUUUGUCCCCCAGCAGUCAGUCACUGGUCAAGGCCCUCACUUGUCCCUCUGACCUAGGCUGGCGGCCUCACGUGCUGUCCCCACUGUGCACCCCCUUCUCCGCACACCCACAGAGACAUGUACGUGUGUGUUUCCACCUUUCUCACCUGAGCCAAAACCCCAGCUGCAUGCCUCAGGUUCUCCAGAAAAACAGUCUCCAUCUCAGCCUUGACUGCUGUUCGAUCAGCCCCCUGGGGUACUCGGCCAGCCAUCAGGUGGAUCCUGUGGGGAAGAUGGACUGGAGGCCUUGCCUCCCUUGGCUCUCUCUGCACCUCUUCCAGGAUUUCCUGACUGUGCCAGCCCUCAUCCGUCUCCCCCGGUCCCCAGUCCAUGGCACCUGGGUCACGAUGCCCAGGUAUCCCAGCACUUUCAGAGACACUUCAGUGAUGGCCGAGGGGCAAGCCCUUUCCCAGACACCUCAGCGUCCACCCACCGCCUCCUGCCUCCAGUACUUUCCAAAACCUUUCCUUCCCUGGGUCCUUCUCCUCAACCUGUAACCUGCUAAAUUCUCACCUUUAAAAAUUGUCCUGACCUUUGCUUGCCCUUCUCAGGUAUUCCAUGCUGCUAUCUCUACUUCCUCUCCUCGCAUCUACUUCUUAGCCUCUUUCCAUCUGUUUUCUGCCCCCACCAUUGACCAGUGGUGAUCCCCUCUUGCGAGUUCCUUCUGAGCCUGUUUGGCCUCUGCAGGAUUUGACAUUUGAAUCAGCCCCACUUUGAGCCGUCCACCUCCUCCCAUCAUCCCCUGAUCUUAUCAGCCACAUCCAGCUCCAAGCAGACAUUCCAGGCCUCCCCAUCCCAACAGGCUACAUACAUGUCCAGCCUCAGGAACACUGCCAAAUACACCAGGCCCCCUCUUUGCCACAGCACCCUUGCAAGGAACACUCAACCUCCUGCCCAUCAAGCAAUGCCCACUCCUUGAAGACAGUCCAAGCAUCACUACCUGUAAGCAGCUUUCUCUGAUCCAGACAGGGUUAGAUGCCUACCCUGCUCCCACAGCUUCCUGGAAUAGGCCUGUCCUCAAAUGGAUCACUGUAUAUAUUUACUCUCCUAUCUCCCUAGGCAGACUGAGCUCCCAGCAUGGGGUAAGCAUGAAGGAGUGGCAAACAGACUGGCAUAAGACAGAUAAAAUACAAAAGGCAAUUUACAAAGGACCAGGACCGCAGAGGCAGAGAUAAACCAGUGGGCUCAGACUUCUGAGCGUCUCAGAUCUGGCGUCCUCGACUCCCUGAACCUGCAGCAGGGUCAUGGGUCACAGAAGGGUGGGGGUGGGGUGGAGCGGGGUACCUGGGACAGCUCAGGGCUUUGGCGUACCGCACGGCCUGCUCCAGUCCCUCUCGGAAGGCCGCCUGUCUCCCGGGGACGGCCCCUAACCCCAUUUCCCCCUUCUCUUGGUCUCCUGCGGAGAGAACGGGCCUCAGCCACCGGCUCGGGCACUCCCCUGCCCGCGCCCCCCACCCCCACCACCAGCCCUCCCGGCCCGCGGCGCACCGGGGGGCGUGUUGAUCAGUACAAGCCGCAGCCCAGCUUCUCGCGCGGCGCGCGCCAGCGUCUCAGGCGGCUCCGCGUACGGCCAGGCCACCUCGACGGCCUCGAAGCCCGAGCUGCCCGCGGCCCGCACCCGCGCGGGGAGGCCGGGGAGCUCGGGGAAUAGCCAGGACAGAUUGGCGGAGAAGCGCAGCGGCGCCAUGCCUGGGGAGGCCGGGCCGGGCGGAGUCCGCGGGAUCCAAAGUUGGCGGGCGGAGGGCGGGGGGGCGGCGGCGGCGGCGGCGGGCGGAGGCUCUCCUUGCUGGCUCUGCGAACAAACGUGCACUGUUCGUGGUUAGAAAAGCGAAGUGCUGUAAAAACCCGGGCCUUCACGAAAAGCGCCUUCCCUUAGCGAGAGAGGGAUCGCUGGGAGAGGCGAAGGGGCGGAGCGAGGGCGGCCGGAAAAGGAGCAGGGCCCGCGGCGGGAGAAGGUGGGGAGGCCGGGCUCCAGGGCCUGAGAGCCGAACGCGGGGCAAGAGAGAGCUGCCCGAGGGCCCGGUUGCAAUGAUGGGACGCGCACUUUAAUACUGAGUCUUUCCUCUGAUUAUAAAAAUGCUGUCUGUUCGUUAAGCAACAUUUGAAAGCUGUAUGACCAAAUAAAGAAGCACUUUUAUACCGCCA
RNA transcript from Pongo pygmaeus (Bornean orangutan), 13869 nucleotides. It is a transcript of the gene named SZT2 subunit of KICSTOR complex, with no coding region annotated. The record is from RefSeq and is a predicted model, not a curated record. NCBI's taxonomy places the organism in Eukaryota, Metazoa, Chordata, Mammalia, Primates, Hominidae. The transcript is spliced from 73 exons.